Molecule: ribosomal RNA, 673 nt
Filed under: uncultured Actinomycetes bacterium
Lineage: Bacteria; Bacillati; Actinomycetota; Actinomycetes
Description: bacterial SSU rRNA
Rfam family: Bacterial small subunit ribosomal RNA
Source: RNAcentral
UGGGCGUAAGAGCUCGUAGGUCGUUUGUUACGUCGGAUGUGAAAACCUGAGGCUCAACCUCAGGCCUGCAUUCGAUACGGGCAAACUAGAGUUUGGUAGGGGAGACUGGAAUUCCUGGUGUAGCGGUGGAAUGCGCAGAUAUCAGGAGGAACACCAAUGGCGAAGGCAGGUCUCUGGGCCAAUACUGACACUGAGGAGCGAAAGUCUGGGGAGCGAACAGGAUUAGAUACCCUGGUAGUCCAGACCGUAAACGGUGGGCACUAGUUGUGGGAACCUUCCACGGUUUCUGCGACGCAGCUAACGCAUUAAGUGCCCCGCCUGGGGAGUACGAUCGCAAGAUUAAAACUCAAAGGAAUUGACGGGGCCCCGCACAAGCAGCGGAGCAUGCGGCUUAAUUCGACGCAACGCGAAGAACCUUACCAAGGCUUGACAUAUAGGGAAAAGUGGCAGAGAUGUCAUGUCCGCAAGGGCUCUAUACAGGUGGUGCAUGGUUGUCGUCAGCUCGUGUCGUGAGAUGUUGGGUUAAGUCCCGCAACGAGCGCAACCCUCGUUCUGUGUUGCCAGCAUUUAGUUGGGCACUUUUAAUGGGACUGCCGGUGACAAACCGGAGGAAGGUGGGGGAUGACGUCAAGUCCUCAUGGCCCUUAUGGCCAGGGCUUCACACGUAAUACAA